UUUAAUGAGAGUUUGAUCCUGGCUCAGGACGAACGCUGGCGGCGUGCCUAAUACAUGCAAGUAGAACGCUGAGGUUUGGUGUUUACACUAGACUGAUGAGUUGCGAACGGGUGAGUAACGCGUAGGUAACCUGCCUCAUAGCGGGGGAUAACUAUUGGAAACGAUAGCUAAUACCGCAUAAGAGUAAUUAACACAUGUUGGUUAUUUAAAAGGAGCAAUUGCUUCACUGUGAGAUGGACCUGCGUUGUAUUAGCUAGUUGGUGAGGUAAAGGCUCACCAAGGCGAC
RNAcentral lists this ribosomal RNA (286 nucleotides) under Streptococcus agalactiae. RNAcentral describes it as "partial 16S ribosomal RNA". It matches the Rfam family "Bacterial small subunit ribosomal RNA", at positions 1 to 277 of the family's 1533-position model. Lineage: Bacteria; Bacillati; Bacillota; Bacilli; Lactobacillales; Streptococcaceae. RNAcentral also lists the same sequence under 1 other name. The record is from RNAcentral.